AUACACCUGUUCCCAUGCCGAACACAGAAGUUAAGCUUCAGCACGCCAAAAGUAGUUGGGGGAUCGCCCCCUGCGAGGAUAGGACGUUGCCACGC
This 95-nucleotide ribosomal RNA is filed under the name Limosilactobacillus fermentum. Lineage: Bacteria; Bacillati; Bacillota; Bacilli; Lactobacillales; Lactobacillaceae. RNAcentral also lists the same sequence under 1 other name. The record is from RNAcentral.